CAGUAGCUCAGUUGGUUAGAGCGCCAGCCUGUCACGCUGGAGGUCGACGGUUCGAGCCCGUUCU
This 64-nucleotide transfer RNA is filed under the name human gut metagenome. It matches the Rfam family "tRNA", at positions 6 to 65 of the family's 71-position model. From Rfam's summary of the family: Transfer RNA (tRNA) molecules are approximately 80 nucleotides in length. Their secondary structure includes four short double-helical elements and three loops (D, anti-codon, and T loops). RNAcentral also lists the same sequence under 1 other name. The record is from RNAcentral.